GCUGGGGCAGGUGGUGACGCUGGGCCUCAUGCCGUUCUUCCACAUCUACGGCAUCACCGGCAUCUGCUGCGCGACUCUGCGGCACAAGGGCACGGUGGUGGUGAUGGACCGGUUCGACCUGAGGACGUUCCUGGGCGCGCUGGUUGCGCACCGGGUGAUGUUCGCGCCCGUGGUGCCGCCGGUGAUGCUGGCCAUGGUCAAGAACCCCAUCGCCGACGAGUUCGACCUCUCCGGGCUGGCCCUCAAGUCCGUGAUGACCGCCGCGGCGCCGCUGGCGCCGGACCUCCUGGCGGCCUUCCAGAGGAAGUUCCCCGGCGUGCAGGUGGAGGAGGCGUACGGGCUGACGGAGCACAGCUGCAUCACGCUGACGCACGCCGGCGACGACCCAGAGAAGGGGCACAUCGCGAAGAAGAAUUCGGUGGGGUUCAUCCUGCCCAACCUGGAGGUGAAGUUCGUG
This 457-nucleotide long non-coding RNA is filed under the name Hordeum vulgare. Its description in RNAcentral is "long non-coding RNA (HVUL_LNC004538)". The record is from RNAcentral. Lineage: Eukaryota; Viridiplantae; Streptophyta; Magnoliopsida; Poales; Poaceae.